Molecule: ribosomal RNA, 484 nt
Filed under: uncultured bacterium
Lineage: Bacteria
Description: partial 16S ribosomal RNA
Rfam family: Bacterial small subunit ribosomal RNA
Source: RNAcentral
AUUGAACGCUGGCGGCAGGCCUAACACAUGCAAGUCGAGCGGAAGAAGGGAGCUUGCUCCUGGAUUCAGCGGCGGACGGGUGAGGAAUGCCAAGGAAUCUGCCUGGUAGUGGGGGAUAACGUCAGGAAACGGGCGCUAAUACCGAAUACGUCUUGAGGGAGAAAGUGGGGGAUCUUCGGACUUCACGCUAUCAGCAGAGCCUAGGUCGGAUUAGCUAGUUGGUGGGGUAAAGGCCUACCAAGGCGACGAUCCGUAACUGGUCUGAGAGGAUGAUCAGUCACACUGGAACUGAGACACGGUCCAGACUCCUACGGGAGGCAGCAGUGGGGAAUAUUGGACAAUGGGCGAAAGCCUGAUGCAGCCAUGCCGCGUGUGUGAAGAAGGUCUUCGGAUUGUAAAGCACUUUAAGUUGGGAGGAAGGGAAUUAAGUUAAUACCUUGCUGUAUUGACGUUACCAGCAGAAUAAGCACCGGCUAACUUCGUG